Long non-coding RNA from Priapulus caudatus, 346 nucleotides. RefSeq lists it as uncharacterized. The record is from RefSeq and is a predicted model, not a curated record. The transcript has 3 exons. NCBI's taxonomy places the organism in Eukaryota, Metazoa, Priapulida, Priapulimorpha, Priapulimorphida, Priapulidae.
GCCUGUAACAGCGGCUCCGCCACGCAGCGCUCUGACGGCGUACGCGGACAAACAUGACGUCAUCAUAUACGUGGACCGCGUCGCAGCACCCUCUAGGGCCGUAUGGAUGGCGGCACGAGCGCUGCGCAUACCAUUUCAGAUUAAAGACGACCACGAAAUCUUAAACGGCGACCCCUGUCGGUCGUUGCCGCUGAUUGAUGACAACGGGCUGGUGCUGUGGGACAGCCGCGUCAUACUGGCGUACUUUGGUAACAAGUUUGGCCGUCACUCGUCUAUGGUACCGUCCGAUCCCGCCGCCAGGGCGCGCAUGGACCAGAUGAUAGCUUGACGCACACUACUUUACCUG